UACGGAGGGUGCGAGCGUUUGUCCGGAAUCAUUGGGCGUAAAGGGCGCGUAGGUGGCCCGGUCAGUUCGUGGUGAAAGCGCGGGGCUCAACCCUGCGUCGGCCAUGAAUACUGCCGCGGCUGGAGCACUGUAGAGGCAGGCGGAAUUCCGGGUGUAGCGGUGGAAUGCGUAGAGAUCCGGAAGAACACCGGUGGCGAAGGCGGCCUGCUGGGCAGUUGCUGACACUGAGGCGCGACAGCGUGGGGAGCAAACAGGG
RNAcentral lists this ribosomal RNA (256 nucleotides) under uncultured bacterium. RNAcentral describes it as "partial 16S ribosomal RNA". It matches the Rfam family "Bacterial small subunit ribosomal RNA", at positions 524 to 777 of the family's 1533-position model. The record is from RNAcentral.